CCAUUCCAGGAAGUGCCAAACAUGU
RNAcentral lists this microRNA (25 nucleotides) under Equus caballus (horse). Its description in RNAcentral is "eca-miR-514b". Its record names the gene eca-miR-514b. The record is from miRBase by way of RNAcentral. Lineage: Eukaryota; Metazoa; Chordata; Mammalia; Perissodactyla; Equidae.